Molecule: long non-coding RNA, 691 nt
Filed under: Anser cygnoides (Swan goose)
Lineage: Eukaryota; Metazoa; Chordata; Aves; Anseriformes; Anatidae
Description: lncRNA (ENSACDG00005010454.1)
Source: RNAcentral
UAUCUUCAACAGUUUAAAAGUCUUUCUUCUCUACAUGGUCUUCAAAUAGAAAUCAAGAAGCAAGUGUUCCUGCCCUUUCUGGGCAUCAGAAAUGGAUCCUUGGAAUUUGGACUCUAUUUUGAAAGACACUUUAAAAUCUCUAAGCAGAUGGGCCUCAACUACUUGCUGCUAAUACAGACGGGAACUCAAGCUGCCUGUAUUCUUGGCUGCAUAUUGCUGCAGGGACAGGAUUAGGAUGAGAACGGUAACCUUGUAGGACGUCUUAUGGAGUCAAUGCUGGCCAUGACAGGUGCUGUGGGAGAAGGUGGUCUGUACUGAGCCCCUACUGACCUUUCAUUGGGAGAUAACACUAAAGGGAAGAAAAGGCUGAUCCCUGAGCCUUGUGUCUAGGUUAGAAGCCUGAAACUGGAAAAUAUAUGAAGUUAUGUCUGGUGUUUUGUUAUCUGUUGUUUUAGGAAGAGGUAUGAAUUUUGCCCUGAGAGAAAAAGAAUUGGGUUGAUGUCCCUUUGCCUCUAUGCACAGAGGUGACCUAGCAGUUACCAUGACAUCCGGAUUUAUUAACCUCAACCCCCAAAAUCCAGCCCACCUCUAGCAGUAAAGAGAUGGGAUUUUCUCUUACUGAAACUCUUUUAGUCUGGUCUUGUAAGGUUGCCUUUUUUUAAGGAGUAACCAAGCUCUCUGUUUAAUGUGU